RNAcentral lists this ribosomal RNA (253 nucleotides) under uncultured bacterium. RNAcentral's name for it is "partial 16S ribosomal RNA". It matches the Rfam family "Bacterial small subunit ribosomal RNA", at positions 524 to 776 of the family's 1533-position model. The record is from RNAcentral.
UACGUAGGGGGCAAGCGUUGUCCGGAUUUAUUGGGCGUAAAGAGCGUGUAGGCGGCUUUACAGGUCCGUUGUGAAAACUCGAGGCUCAACCUCGAGACGCCGGUGGAAACCGUAAAGCUAGAGUCCGGAAGAGGAGAGUGGAAUUCCUGGUGUAGCGGUGAAAUGCGCAGAUAUCAGGAGGAACACCGGUGGCGAAAGCGCUCAUCUGGCCCAAUACUGACGCUGAGGCGCGAAAGCUAGGGGAGCAAACGGG